CAGCAGCCGCGGUAAUACGGAGGAUCCAAGCGUUAUCCGGAAUCAUUGGGUUUAAAGGGUCCGUAGGCGGUCUUGUAAGUCAGUGGUGAAAGCCCAUCGCUCAACGGUGGAACGGCCAUUGAUACUGCAGGACUUGAAUUAUUGGGAAGUAACUAGAAUAUGUAGUGUAGCGGUGAAAUGCUUAGAGAUUACAUGGAAUACCAAUUGCGAAGGCAGGUUACUACCAAUUGAUUGACGCUGAUGGACGAAAGCGUGGGUAGCGAACAGGAUUAGAUACCCCGGUAGUCUCUGUCUCUUAUAC
This 301-nucleotide ribosomal RNA is filed under the name uncultured bacterium. RNAcentral's name for it is "partial 16S ribosomal RNA". It matches the Rfam family "Bacterial small subunit ribosomal RNA", at positions 509 to 807 of the family's 1533-position model. The record is from RNAcentral.